UAGCUAGUUGGUGAGGUAAAGGCUUACCAAGGCGACGAUCUGUAGCGGGUCUGAGAGGAUGAUCCGCCACACUGGAACUGAGACACGGUCCAGACUCCUACGGGAGGCAGCAGUGGGGAAUUUUGGACAAUGGGGGCAACCCUGAUCCAGCCAUGCCGCGUGAGUGAAGAAGGCCUUCGGGUUGUAAAGCUCUUUCGGCCGGGAAGAAAUCGCAUGGGCCAAUACCCUGUGUGGAUGACGGUACCGGAAUAAGAAGCACCGGCUAACUACGUGCCAGCAGCCGCGGUAAUACGUAGGGUGCGAGCGUUAAUCGGAAUUACUGGGCGUAAAGCGUGCGCAGGCGGUUUUGUAAGACAGGCGUGAAAUCCCCGGGCUUAACCUGGGAACUGCGUUUGUGACUGCAAGGCUAGAGUACGGCAGAGGGGGGUGGAAUUCCACGUGUAGCAGUGAAAUGCGUAGAGAUGUGGAGGAACACCAAUGGCGAAGGCAGCCCCCUGGGUCGAUACUGACGCUCAUGCACGAAAGCGUGGGUAGCAAACAGGAUUAGAUACCCUGGUAGUCCACGCCCUAAACUAUGUCAACUAGGUGUUGGGUGGGUAAAACCAUUUAGUACCGUAGCUAACGCGUGAAGUUGACCGCCUGGGGAGUACGGCCGCAAGGUUAAAACUCAAAGGAAUUGACGGGGACCCGCACAAGCGGUGGAUGAUGUGGAUUAAUUCGAUGCAACGCGAAAAACCUUACCUACCCUUGACAUGCCAGGAACUUGCCAGAGAUGGCUUGGUGCCCGAAAGGGAGCCUGGACACAGGUGCUGCAUGGCUGUCGUCAGCUCGUGUCGUGAGAUGUUGGGUUAAGUCCCGCAACGAGCGCAACCCUUGUCGUUAAUUGCCAUCAUUUAGUUGGGCACUUUAACGAGACUGCCGGUGGCAAACCGGAGGAAGGUGGGGAUGACGUCAAGUCCUCAUGGCCCUUAUGGGUAGGGCUUCACACGUCAUACAAUGGUCGGUACAAAGGGUUGCCAAGCCGCGAGGCGGAGCCAAUCCCAGAAAGCCGAUCGUAGUCCGGAUUGCAGGCUGCAACUCGCCUGCAUGAAGUCGGAAUCGCUAGUAAUCGUGGAUCAGCAUGUCACGGUGAAUACGUUCCCGGGUCUUGUACACACCGCCCGUCACACCAUGGGAGCGGGUUCCGCCAGAAGUAGGUAGCCUAACCGCAAGGGGGGCGCUUACCACGGCGGGGUUCGUGACUGGGGUGAAGUCGUAACAAGGUAGCCGUAGGGGAACCUGCGGCUG
This 1287-nucleotide ribosomal RNA is filed under the name metagenome. RNAcentral's name for it is "bacterial SSU rRNA". It matches the Rfam family "Bacterial small subunit ribosomal RNA", at positions 242 to 1520 of the family's 1533-position model. The record is from RNAcentral.